Molecule: non-coding RNA, 250 nt
Organism: Pelodiscus sinensis (Chinese soft-shelled turtle)
Lineage: Eukaryota; Metazoa; Chordata; Testudines; Trionychidae
Source: RefSeq, a predicted model, not a curated record
GCCGGUGCCCUCCGCAGGCAGCCUGCCCGGCCUCUCCAGCAUGGUGCACUCCUUCCUGGCGCUGGUGCAGCCCAACGCCUUCCCAGCUGAGAUCCUCAGCAACUUGAUCCAGAAGAAAGCUCCCGUUUCAGACUCCUCCGCGUACAAAGAGGUGCUGGUUUACGAGGUGGGUUUCCUGGUCUGCACCGCCAUCGGCCUCCUCUUCAUCCUCCUCGUGCCCCUGGUGGGCUUGUGCUUCUGCUGCUGCCGC